This 468-nucleotide ribosomal RNA is filed under the name uncultured bacterium. RNAcentral describes it as "partial 16S ribosomal RNA". It matches the Rfam family "Bacterial small subunit ribosomal RNA", at positions 28 to 507 of the family's 1533-position model. The record is from RNAcentral.
GACGAACGCUGGCGGCGUGCUUAACACAUGCAAGUCGAACGGAAAGGCCCUGCUUUUGUGGGGUGCUCGAGUGGCGAACGGGUGAGUAACACGUGAGUAACCUGCCCUUGACUUUGGGAUAACGUCAGGAAACUGGGGCUAAUACCGGAUAGGAGCUCCUGAUGCAUGGUGGGGGUUGGAAAGUUUCGGCGGUUGGGGAUGGACUCGCGGCUUAUCAGCUUGUUGGUGGGGUAGUGGCUUACCAAGGCUUUGACGGGUAGCCGGCCUGGGAGGGUGACCGGCCACAUUGGGACUGAGAUACGGCCCAGACUCCUACGGGAGGCAGCAGUGGGGAAUAUUGCACAAUGGGCGGAAGCCUGAUGCAGCAACGCCGCGUGCGGGAUGACGGCCUUCGGGUUGUAAACCGCUUUCGCCUGUGACGAAGCGUGAGUGACGGUAAUGGGUAAAGAAGCACCGGCUAACUACGUG